This 181-nucleotide non-coding RNA is filed under the name Bacillota bacterium. Its description in RNAcentral is "6S RNA". It matches the Rfam family "6S / SsrS RNA". Rfam says of the family: E. coli 6S RNA was the first non coding RNA to be sequenced, but its function was unknown until recently. It consists of 184 nucleotides that fold into an extended hairpin structure with a large single-stranded internal bulge. Lineage: Bacteria; Bacillati; Bacillota. The record is from RNAcentral.
AAAACCCUGCAAUGUGCGUGGAAGUCAGGGAGUUUUGAGCCAACACCAAUACAAGAGGAACCUGGGCUCUGGUUGUGGCUUGUAGGCCCUGCAGCAGGGAAACAAAAAGCAGCCAGGAGGGUACCACCGUGCGGAGCUGAGGUUCAGAAACGCCCGAUUCCACGGCAUUUGUGGGGUUUUU